This 513-nucleotide ribosomal RNA is filed under the name uncultured bacterium. Its description in RNAcentral is "bacterial SSU rRNA". It matches the Rfam family "Bacterial small subunit ribosomal RNA", at positions 996 to 1509 of the family's 1533-position model. The record is from RNAcentral.
CUUAGCAGAGAUGCUUUGGUGCCUUCGGGAACUCUGAGACAGGUGCUGCAUGGCUGUCGUCAGCUCGUGUUGUGAAAUGUUGGGUUAAGUCCCGCAACGAGCGCAACCCUUAUCCUUUGUUGCCAGCGGCUCGGCCGGGAACUCAAAGGAGACUGCCGGUGAUAAACCGGAGGAAGGUGGGGAUGACGUCAAGUCAUCAUGGCCCUUACGGCCAGGGCUACACACGUGCUACAAUGGCGCAUACAAAGAGAAGCGACCUCGCGAGAGCAAGCGGACCUCAUAAAGUGCGUCGUAGUCCGGAUUGGAGUCUGCAACUCGACUCCAUGAAGUCGGAAUCGCUAGUAAUCGUAGAUCAGAAUGCUACGGUGAAUACGUUCCCGGGCCUUGUACACACCGCCCGUCACACCAUGGGAGUGGGUUGCAAAAGAAGUAGGUAGCUUAACCUUCGGGAGGGCGCUUACCACUUUGUGAUUCAUGACUGGGGUGAAGUCGUAACAAGGUAGGCGUAGCGAG